This 452-nucleotide ribosomal RNA is filed under the name uncultured bacterium. Its description in RNAcentral is "SSU rRNA". It matches the Rfam family "Bacterial small subunit ribosomal RNA", at positions 26 to 518 of the family's 1533-position model. The record is from RNAcentral.
AGGAUAAACGCUGGCGGCGUGCCUAACACAUGCAAGUCGAACGUCCUACGCAAGUAGGGAGUGGCGGACGGGUGAGUAACACGUGGGCAAUCUACCUUUCGGUGAGGAAUACCGGCGAGAAAUCGCCGACAAUACCGCAUACGCUUCGCAAGAAGCAAAGUCGCAAGACGCCGGAGGAGGAGCCUGCGCCCGAUUAGCUGGUUGGUGGAGUAAUGGUCUACCAAGGCGACGAUCGGUAGCUGGUCUGAGAGGAUGAUCAGCCACACUGGGAUUGAGAAACGGCCCAGACUCCUACGGGAGGCAGCAGUGAGGAAUUUUCCGCAAUGGGCGAAAGCCUGACGGAGCGACGCCGCGUGUGGGAAGAAGGCCUUCGGGUCGUAAACCACUGUCGAAGGGGACGAUAAUGACGGUACCCUUGGAGGAAGCCCGGCUAACUACGUGCCAGCAGCCGC